Molecule: ribosomal RNA, 353 nt
Filed under: uncultured bacterium
Lineage: Bacteria
Description: bacterial SSU rRNA
Rfam family: Bacterial small subunit ribosomal RNA
Source: RNAcentral
AGAGUUUGAUCCUGGCUCAGGAUGAACGCUAGCUACAGGCUUAACACAUGCAAGUCGAGGGGAAACGACAUCGAAAGCUUGCUUUUGAUGGGCGUCGACCGGCGCACGGGUGAGUAACGCGUAUCCAACCUGCCCAUCACUUGGGGAUAACCUUGCGAAAGUAAGACUAAUACCCAAUGAUAUCUCUAGAAGACAUCUGAAAGAGAUUAAAGAUUUAUCGGUGAUGGAUGGGGAUGCGUCUGAUUAGCUUGGUUGGCGGGGUAACGGCCCACCAAGGCUACGAUCAGGUAGGGUUCUGAGAGGAGGUCCCCCANAUUGGAACUGAGACACGGUCCAAACUCCGUACGGGAGCA